RNAcentral lists this ribosomal RNA (468 nucleotides) under uncultured bacterium. Its description in RNAcentral is "partial 16S ribosomal RNA". It matches the Rfam family "Bacterial small subunit ribosomal RNA", at positions 28 to 507 of the family's 1533-position model. The record is from RNAcentral.
GACGAACGCUGGCGGCGUGCUUAACACAUGCAAGUCGAACGGACAGGCCCUGCUUUUGUGGGUUGCUCGAUUGGCGAACGGGUGAGUAACACGUGAGUAACCUGCCCUUGACUUUGGGAUAACUUCAGGAAACUGGGGCUCUUACCGGGUAGGAGCUCCUGCUGCAUGGUGGGGGUUGGAAAGAUUCGGCGGUUGGGGAUGGACUCGAAGCUUAUGAGCUUGUUGGUGAGGUAGUGGCUUACAAAGCUUUUGACGGAUAGCCGGCCUGGGAGGGUGACCGGGGACAAUGGGACUGAGGGACGGCCCAGUAUCGUACGGGCGGCAAUGGGGGGGAAUAUGGCAGAAUGGGGGGAAGCCUGAGGCAACGACGUCCGGUUCGUGAAGACCGGCUUCUGGGUGUAAACCGCUUUCUCCGUUGACGAAGAGUUAGUGACGGUAAUGGGUAAAAAAGCAACGGCUAACUACGUG